RNAcentral lists this ribosomal RNA (301 nucleotides) under uncultured bacterium. RNAcentral's name for it is "partial 16S ribosomal RNA". It matches the Rfam family "Bacterial small subunit ribosomal RNA", at positions 509 to 807 of the family's 1533-position model. The record is from RNAcentral.
CAGCAGCCGCGGUAAUACGAAGGGUGCAAGCGUUACUCGGAAUUACUGGGCGUAAAGCGUGUGUAGGUGGUUGUUUAAGUCUGUCGUGAAAGUCCUGGGCUCAACCUGGGAAUUGCGAUGGAUACUGGGCGACUAGAGUGCGGUAGAGGAUAGUGGAAUUUCCGGUGUAGCAGUGAAAUGCGUAGAGAUCGGAAGGAACAUCUGUGGCGAAGGCGACUAUCUGGGCCAACACUGACACUGAGACACGAAAGCGUGGGGAGCAAACAGGAUUAGAUACCCCCGUAGUCCCUGUCUCUUAUAC